GACGAACGCUGGCGGCGCGCCUAACACAUGCAAGUCGAACGAGCGAGAGAGAGCUUGCUUUCUCGAGCGAGUGGCGAACGGGUGAGUAACGCGUGAGGAACCUGCCUCAAAGAGGGGGACAACAGUUGGAAACGACUGCUAAUACCGCAUAAGCCCACGGUGCCGCAUGGUACAGAGGGAAAAGGAGCAAUCCGCUUUGAGAUGGCCUCGCGUCCGAUUAGCUAGUUGGUGAGGUAAUGGCCCACCAAGGCGACGAUCGGUAGCCGGACUGAGAGGUUGAACGGCCACAUUGGGACUGAGACACGGCCCAGACUCCUACGGGAGGCAGCAGUGGGGAAUAUUGCACAAUGGGGGAAACCCUGAUGCAGCGACGCCGCGUGGAGGAAGAAGGUCUUCGGAUUGUAAACUCCUGUUGUUGGGGAAGAUAAUGACGGUACC
RNAcentral lists this ribosomal RNA (438 nucleotides) under uncultured bacterium. RNAcentral describes it as "bacterial SSU rRNA". It matches the Rfam family "Bacterial small subunit ribosomal RNA", at positions 28 to 479 of the family's 1533-position model. The record is from RNAcentral.